UCUGCCCCCAUAGCCUGGGAUACCACUUGGAAACAGGUGCUAAUACGGGAUAAGAAAGCAGAUCGCAUGAUCAGCUUUUAAAAAAGGCGGCGUAAGCUGUCGCUAUGGGAUGGCCCCGCGGUGCAUUAGCUAGUUGGUAAGGUAAAGGCUUACCAAGGCGAUGAUGCAUAGCCGAGUUGAGAGACUGAUCGGCCACAUUGGGACUGAGACACGGCCCAAACUCCUACGGGAGGCAGCAGUAGGGAAUCUUCCACAAUGGACGCAAGUCUGAUGGAGCAACGCCGCGUGAGUGAAGAAGGUUUUCGGAUCGUAAAGCUCUGUUGUUGGUGAAGAAGGAUAGAGGUAGUAACUGGCCUUUAUUUGACGGUAAUCAACCAGAAAGUCACGGGCUAACUACGUGCCAGCAGCCGCGGUAAAAA
RNAcentral lists this ribosomal RNA (419 nucleotides) under uncultured Lactobacillus sp. RNAcentral's name for it is "bacterial SSU rRNA". It matches the Rfam family "Bacterial small subunit ribosomal RNA", at positions 124 to 526 of the family's 1533-position model. The record is from RNAcentral. Lineage: Bacteria; Bacillati; Bacillota; Bacilli; Lactobacillales; Lactobacillaceae.